RNAcentral lists this long non-coding RNA (427 nucleotides) under Marmota monax (woodchuck). Lineage: Eukaryota; Metazoa; Chordata; Mammalia; Rodentia; Sciuridae. The record is from RNAcentral.
GAGAGGUUUUGCUAAGUUGCUUAGGGUCUCACUAAGUUGCUGAGGCUGGCCUCGAACUUGCAAUCUUACUGCUGCAGUCUCCUGAGUCACUGGGAUUACAGGUAGUUCCUUCAUUUCUGAGAAUCAGAAACAAGGACUUGCCUGGCUCUCUGGCUGACUGACCUCCACUGAGAUGGCAAGUGAAUACAGGACAUGGAAGGAGACAUGUAAGUAAAGAUUGGGAUGAGGCACUGGAAACAGAGGCUGCUGUGGAGGGAAGAAAGGGUGUUAUGGUUUGGAUGUGAGGUGUUCCCCAAAAGUUCAUGUUUGAGACAAUGCAAGAGGGUUUAUGGGGGAAAUGAUUAGAUUAUAAGAGCCUUAACAAAAUCAGUGAAGUAAUUCCUUAAUGGAGAUUAAUUGAGUGGUAACUGAAAGUAAGUAGGGUGUG